GACGAACGCUGGCGGCGUGCUUAACACAUGCAAGUCGAACGAUGACGACCGAGCUUGCUCGGUCUGAUUAGUGGCGAACGGGUGAGUAACACGUGAGCAACCUGCCCUUCACUCUGGGAUAACCUCGGGAAAUCGGGGCUAAUACCGGAUAUGAGCUCCUGUCGCAUGGCGGGUGUUGGAAAGUUUUUCGGUGCAGGAUGGGCUCGCGGGCUAUCAGAUUGUUGGUGGGGUAGCGGCUCACCCAGGCGAUGGCGGGUAGCCGGCCUGAGAGGGCGACCGGCGACACGGGGACUGAGAGACGGCCCAGACUCCUACGGGAGGCAGCGGUGGGGAAUAUUGCACAAUGGGCGAAAGUCUGAUGCAGCGACGCCGCGUGAGUGAUGACGGCCUUCGGGUUGUAAACCGCUUUCAGCAGGGAAGAAGCGAAAGUGACGGUACCUGCAGAAGAAGCGCCGGCUAACUACGUG
RNAcentral lists this ribosomal RNA (467 nucleotides) under uncultured bacterium. RNAcentral describes it as "partial 16S ribosomal RNA". It matches the Rfam family "Bacterial small subunit ribosomal RNA", at positions 28 to 507 of the family's 1533-position model. The record is from RNAcentral.